This 305-nucleotide ribosomal RNA is filed under the name uncultured bacterium. RNAcentral describes it as "bacterial SSU rRNA". It matches the Rfam family "Bacterial small subunit ribosomal RNA", at positions 337 to 657 of the family's 1533-position model. The record is from RNAcentral.
UCCUACGGGACGCAGCAGUGGGGAAUAUUGGGCAAUGGGCGCAAGCCUGACCCAGCAACGCCGCGUGAAGGAAGAAGGCUUUCGGGUUGUAAACUUCUUUUGACAGGGAAGAGUAGAAGACGGUACCUGUCGAAUAAGCCACGGCUAACUACGUGCCAGCAGCCGCGGUAAUACGUAGGUGGCAAGCGUUGUCCGGAUUUACUGGGUGUAAAGGGCGUGUAGGCGGGAUGGCAAGUCAGGCGUGAAAACUAUGGGCUCAACCCAUAGCCUGCGUUUGAAACUGUCGUUCUUGAGUGAUGGAGAGG